AACGAACGCUGGCGGCAUGCCUAACACAUGCAGGUCGAACGAGACCUUCGGGUCUAGUGGCGCACGGGUGCGUAACGCGUGGGAACCUGCCCUUAGGCUCGGAAUAACUCCCCGAAAGGGGUGCUAAUACCGGAUAACGUCUUCGGACCAAAGAUUUAUCGCCUUUGGAUGGGCCCGCGUUGGAUUAGCUAGUGGGUAGGGUAAAAGCCUACCAAGGCGACGAUCCAUAGCUGGUCUGAGAGGAUGAUCAGCCACACUGGGACUGAGACACGGCCCAGACUCCUGCGGGAGGCAGCAGUGGGGAAUAUUGGACAAUGGGCUAAAGCCUGAUCCAGCAAUGCCGCGUGAGUGAUGAAGGCCUUAGGGUUGUAAAGCUCUUUUACCCGGGAUGAUAAUGACAGUACCGGGAGAAUAAGCACCGGCUAACUCCGUG
Molecule: ribosomal RNA, 433 nt
Filed under: uncultured bacterium
Lineage: Bacteria
Description: partial 16S ribosomal RNA
Rfam family: Bacterial small subunit ribosomal RNA
Source: RNAcentral